This 3734-nucleotide long non-coding RNA is filed under the name Malus domestica (apple). Its description in RNAcentral is "long non-coding RNA (MDOM_LNC007341)". The record is from RNAcentral. Lineage: Eukaryota; Viridiplantae; Streptophyta; Magnoliopsida; Rosales; Rosaceae.
AACCUUUGUGAAGGCUCCCGUUUGUUUGUUUAUUUUGACUCAAGUAUAUGUACAUAUUUGUGACUUAUCGGGGAUAUCAAUAAAUAAGCUUUCCUUCAUUUCAACGUAUUGUGUUAAAUACACCAAAGCCUUCUUCGCUAAGUUCUUUGAAUUUUCUUUUGUUGAAGCUUGUAUGUUGAAGCUUUGUGAGUGGAGCAUGUAGGUUGAGGUAAUGUUCCCUUAAUUUCCCGAGUGAGGAAAACUUCUCGGUUGGAGACUUGGAAAAUCCAAGUCACUGAGUGGGAUCGGCUAUAUGAAUUUUAGAACGCCAUUGUGUUCUGUCCUGUGUCAUAUCCUCCGUUAGAUCCAAGUACUCUAAGUCUUUUCUUAGGGUCUCUUCCAAAGUUUUCCUAGGUCUUCCUCUACCCCUUCGGCCCUGAACCUCUGUCCCAUAGUCGCAUCUUCUAAUCGGAGCGUCAGUAGGCCUUCUUUGCACAUGUCCAAACCACCGUAAUCGAUUUUCUCUCAUCUUUCCUUCAAUUUCGGCUACUCCUACUUUACCCCGGAUAUCUUUAUUCCUAAUCUUAUCCUUUCUCGUGUGCCCACACAUCCAACGAAGCAUCCUCAUCUCCGCUACACCCAUUUUGUGUACGUGUUGAUGCUUCACCGCCCAACAUUCUGUGCCAUACAGCAUCGCUGGCCUUAUUGCCGUCCUAUAAAAUUUUCCCUUGAGUUUCAGUGGCAUACGGUGGUCACAAAACACGCCAGAUGCACUCUUCCACUUCAUCCAUCCAGCUUGUAUUCUAUGGUUGAGAUCUCCAUCUAAUUCUCCGUUCUUUUGCAAGAUAGAUCCUAGGUAACGAAAACGGUUGCUCUUUGGUAUUUCUUAAUCUCCGAUCCUCACCCCUAACUCGUUUUGGCCUCCAUUUGCACUGAACUUGCACUCCAUAUAUUCUGUCUUUGAUCGGCUUAGGCGAAGACCUUUAGAUUCCAACACUUCUCUCCAAAGGUUAAGCUUUGCAUUUACCCCUUCCUGAGUUUCAUCUAUCAACACUAUAUCGUCUGCGAAAAGCAUACACCAAGGAAUAUCAUCUUGAAUAUGUCCUGUUAACUCAUCCAUUACCAACGCAAAAAGGUAAGGACUUAAGGAUGAGCCUUGAUGUAAUCCUACAGUUAUGGGAAAGCUUUCGGUUUGUCCUUCAUGAGUUCUUACGGCAGUCUUUGCUCCUUCAUACAUAUCCUGUAUAGCUUGGAUAUAUGCUAUUCGUACUCCUUUCUUCUCUAAAAUCCUCCAAAGACAUGGGAGCAUGAAGAAAGACCCAAAAUACUAAUCAGUAAAAGGCAUUCCUAUUCCAUACAGGAUACAGAACUAGACGAUAAAUAAUGGGAAGCCUUACAAGAUUUAACUUUAAUUAUCCUCAUGGUUGCUGCAGCGGUCUCUAUGGGUGUUGGAAUUGCAACUGAAGGAAUGCCGAAGGGUAUGUAUGAUGGCUUGGGAAUAAUAGUUAGCAUAUUGUUAGUAGUGUUGGUGACUGCAAUUAGUGACUACAAGCAGUCUCUGCAAUUUAAAGAACUGGACAAGGAGAAGAAAAACAUAAUGGUUCAGGUAACUACAAUUAGUGACUACAAGCAGUCUCUACGAUGAGCCUUUGCCUGUACAUAUCAGAUGCGGCAAAUGGAUCACAUAGUAUUGAGAAUCUCACUCUUGCCUCUUCACAACCUUUCACCCAGUCAACUCAAAUGUUGAAUUUUGAAUGAUAUCUUCUUUGUAUUACCAAGAAUAACAUGCGGAUUACAAGGGUGGAAGAGAUAUUUAAGGAGAUGACAACACCCCUGCUUUUGUUAUCAGUGUGCAGCACCCAUACUUACAAAAUCCUAAACAAAUCUCCACUUACAAAAUGAUGGACUCAAGGAAUAAACAAUAACAGCACUUACAAAAUCCUAGCUAGUAAACACAGAUAGAAUACAUAACCGUUAUAAACGAUAUAGGCACAGAUGGUACUCUGCAUCAUUUUUGGAUGACUGUCAUGAUAAAAAAUAUAUAUAAAUCGAUUGAAGGAACCACAUCUAACCAUAUUUUUCUACAAAUAAACAAAAAUUAGACAAAUAAAAUUGGCAGAAAUCAUGAAAAAAAACGAAAAAAAGGAUAUUAAUCAGCCUAAACCAAAACCGUGAACCAAAAACUCAAGCCUAGUACUAAUUAAAAAGAAUAACAUAAAUGAAGAAUUUAGAAAAGAAAAAAAAAUAUAAAACACGAUAGCAGAUGGAGUGAGAGAGAUAAGAUACGAGCACUGACCUGGAGGUUGGAGUUUUAGAAGAGACUGCGAGAGCUUGAAGAAGACGAUGAAACGGUGUCGUAGAGGGGUGUGCUGAAUCCCAAAAGACGAGGGAACGUCGUAGGACAAAUCAGAAGCAAAGUUCACAGAUAAGAAGUAAAGUAGAGCUUUAUCCUUUCUUAUAUACCUAAACCCUAAGAUAAAUAAGAAGCAAACAUUCUAAAAAAAAAAAAAUAGAGAAGUAUCAAUUUUUCUUACUUCUCUCUCAAUUUUUCUUGUUUCCUCCACAAAAUCUAUUUUUUUUUUCCACAAACCAUAUCACCUUCCCCAAUUAAUUUUUUUCCCUAUCCUCCAUCCCCAAUUUUUUUUCCCGACACCCAAACACUCAUCCCUUUGCUCUCCCCACCCCUCUUUCACUCUCACUCUCCCAUCCCCAAAUUUAAAAAUCCAAACAAAUAAAUAAGGAAAUUUUAGACAAGAGAAGAUUAAUAGAGGAAGGACGCCGAGCCGGAGAACACGACCUGGAGAAUGAGAGAGAUUGCUAGGAUUGAAGUUUUCUGGUUUGGGUUUUGCGAGAGGUGUGCUGAAAGUGUGAGGAAAGGAGGGUAAUUUUGGGCUUAUUGAAAAAUUCAUUACAGAUUUUACUGUUCACCCGUGUUUUUCUAUAAGUUGGUUAUUUGAAGCUGCUUUUUGCAGCUUUAGAUUUUGAGCUUAUUUUCAUCCAAAACUUUGAAAUAAAGUUGAUUUAGAGUGUUUACAAAACACUAAAAACUUUCCCAAUUUUUUUCAAUACAACUUUUUAAAACUCUCCCAAUUUUUUUUUAUGCCCAUUUUUUUUUAAAAAUCACCUUAAUACCCACUUUUUUCAAGGAGCCUCCUGAUUUUAUUCAAGACACUCUCUUAGACGUUUGUAUGCCCCCUUAAUUUCUAAUAAAUUCCGUAUUGUUUCUCUUAAAAAGAAAUAGAAUGACUAUCAAAAAUGGAAACUGGAAAUAUUUGUUAGGUUUAAAAGGCUAAAAAUACAAUCCAGUCUAAAAAUGGGUUCUUUGUCCCUAAGAUGAAAUUGUGAUCACAUGUGAUUCAAGGUUUGUACCACAAACUUACAAUAAUAGUACUCUUUAAAUACUACAAGACAAAUGAUUUUUACAUACUUUUUUUCUCUUUUACACAUUUAUUUAUGUUCCAUAUUUCCUGUUAUGUAUCCAAUAUAAAGGUUACAAGAAAAGAAAAGAGUACGUAGGAAAAGAAGAAUAACAACAACAACAACAACAAAGCCUUUUCCCACUAAGUGGGGUCGGCUAUAUGAAUCCUAGAACGCCAUUGCGCUCGGUUUUGUGUCAUGUCCUCCGUUAGAUCCAAGUACUCAAGUCUUUUCUUAGGGUCUCUUCCAAAGUUUUCCUAGGUCUUCCUCUACCCCAUCGGCCCUGAACCUCUGUCCCGUAGUCACAUUUUCGAACCGGAGCGUCAGUAGGCCUUCUU